AAUUUUAAAAAGUUAUCAGUACUGUUCAGUUCAGUGCAGUCACUCAAUCAUGUCCGACUCUUUGCAACCCCAUGAACCGCAGCACGCCAGGCCUCCCUGUCCAUCGCCGACUCCUGGAGUCCUCCCAAACCCAUGUCAACCGUGUCAGUGAUGCCAUCCACCCAUCUCAUCCUCUGUUGUCCCCUUCUCCUUCUGCCCUCAAUCUUUCCCAGCAUCAGGGU
Cervus elaphus (red deer) is the source of this 221-nucleotide long non-coding RNA. RefSeq lists it as uncharacterized. Lineage: Eukaryota; Metazoa; Chordata; Mammalia; Artiodactyla; Cervidae. The transcript has 3 exons. The record is from RefSeq and is a predicted model, not a curated record.